This 274-nucleotide ribosomal RNA is filed under the name uncultured bacterium. Its description in RNAcentral is "partial 16S ribosomal RNA". It matches the Rfam family "Bacterial small subunit ribosomal RNA", at positions 523 to 796 of the family's 1533-position model. The record is from RNAcentral.
AUACGGAGGGUGCGAGCGUUGUUCGGAAUUACUGGGCGUAAAGGGCGCGCAGGCGGCUUGAUAAGUCAGAUGUGAAAGCCCACGGCUCAACCGUGGAAGUGCAUCUGAAACUGUCUGGCUUGAGUACUGGAGGGGAAAGUGGAAUUCCUGGUGUAGAGGUGAAAUUCGUAGAUAUCAGGAGGAACACCGGUGGCGAAGGCGACUUUCUGGACAGAUACUGACGCUGAGGCGCGAAAGCGUGGGGAGCAAACAGGAUUAGAAACCCCGGUAGUCC